GUCUUUUUAGUUUAUAUUUUAAAAUGUGAUUUUGAAGAAAUUGAGAAUUUUGAAAGGCG
RNAcentral lists this transfer RNA (59 nucleotides) under Aspiculuris tetraptera. RNAcentral describes it as "tRNA-Phe". The record is from RNAcentral. Lineage: Eukaryota; Metazoa; Nematoda; Chromadorea; Rhabditida; Heteroxynematidae.